Long non-coding RNA from Bos taurus (domestic cattle), 1823 nucleotides. The record is from Ensembl. Lineage: Eukaryota; Metazoa; Chordata; Mammalia; Artiodactyla; Bovidae.
GUGAGGAAGCUGAGGCUCAGAGAGGUGAGCCAAGGUCACGUCACGGCUGGAAGCCAUGGAGCCAGGACCCUCCUGCCUCCUGGUCAACAGACCCCGGUGUUUCUGCCUGUAUUUAGCAGAGCUUUGCCCACUGUUACUGCACAGUAGAUGUUGCUGACUCUUCAAACAAGGACCAUGCACACCUGAAGUCCCAGAAGUCCUCUGUGAUCUGUCAAGGAGUGUGGCGUGGUGGGUAACUGCUGUCAGAUAUCCCAGGUUUGAGUCAGCUUUGCCACUCCGGCUGUGUGGCUUCGGGCACGUUCCUGAGCUUCUCUGAGCUUCCAUCUGCUCAUCUGUGAUGGGGGUCACAAUAAUAGACCCGCCGAAAGUCUGUGGGACUGACUAAGGGCAGGGAGAUGAGCAGCUCGCGUUGUCCCCAGCACCUCGCACAGGCCUGGGAAGAACUCGAGGUCGGUCCUCAGGGCAGAGGCAGGCUGGCAGUGGGCCGGGGAGGGGGCAGGGAGCUUCAUGUAUCUCCCAUGACUCAGUCCUGUUCGAGGAGUGGGGAGUCAAGGCCAGGCCUCUGAGGUCGGGCGCCUGGGGACCUCCUGUCCUCCUCCUCCCUACUCUGCCCUCGGCCUGCUCCCCACCCAGCGCUUCCGGCAGUGCCGGGCAGGGCCUCACGCAUUCUCCGCUGGCCGCCUGGGCACGCCCUCCAGCUUUCCCCAGAUCCGCAGCCCGGAUCUGCAGCCCCGUGGCCCAAGGGCUCGGACGCUGGCCCACCGUGGACCACCUUGAAUGGGGUUCUCGCCCUACACAUCCUUCAGCUGCCCUCUUGCACCUGGCCUUACCUGGGCAGGGCUGGACCCCUGGGACCAGAUGGAGGGACCACAGGAUAAGGGCUUGAGGAUGGUGUACAGGAGCCGACAGCCCACGACGACGGGACCUCAGUCCUACAGCCGCAGGAACUGAAUCCUGCUGACAACCAGUGAGUUUGGAAAACCAUCCAAGGCCCUGAUGAGAUUGCAGCCCUGCCAAUGCCUCAGUUUCACUCGGCAGGACUUUGAGCUGAGAGCCCAGCCAUGCCACGUCUGGCAAUGAUAAAUGGUACUGUUCGUGUCCGACUCUGCAACCCUGUAGACAGCAGCCCACCAGGCUCCUCCGUCCCUGGGAUUCUCCAGGCGAGAACACUGGAGUGGGUUGCCAUUUCCUUCUCCAGUGCAUGAAAGCGAAAAGUGAAAGUGAAGUUGCUCAGUCAUGUCAGACUCUUCGUGGCCCCAUGGACUGCAGCCUACCAGGCUCCUCCAUCCAUGGGAUUUUCCAGGCAAGAGUACUGGAGUGGGGUACCAUCGCCUUCUCCAUUUCAAGCCAAUACAUUGAUGGAAAUCUUAUGUGGCAACAGGGAAUAAGUCCAUCAUCGUUCCAAAGAGGAGAACAGUAUUCUAGAUGCAAAUGUAGGAUAAAAGUUUAAAACUGAGAAAAACCCGUCCCCUGCUCCUCGGGCGCUCUGUAAAGUGGAAACCUGCCACAGCCUCUGUGCUGAUGGUCCCCCCUCCUGCCCUCCUGGCUGCAGUUUAAAUCCAUGGUCUUAGGGCUCACGUCUCUCGCCUGAGCUUACAACCAGCCUCAGAGGAGGGCAAGUGUGUUCUGGAAAGGGUAGCACUGAUGGCACCUUGAGGGCAGUCACAUCCCACUGUGGCUGAAGAAAGAUGCUCUGGAACCCUUUGCUUUAGGAGAUCCCUGAGGUUUCUGGGGCUCCUGGGACUUCUGGAAAUCUUCAGGGUCAACAAAGCUAUUUUUUUAAAGAAAUACAGCUGUUUAAUUUAAUAGCUUUAUUAUAUAUA